RNAcentral lists this ribosomal RNA (139 nucleotides) under uncultured eukaryote. Its description in RNAcentral is "partial 18S ribosomal RNA". It matches the Rfam family "Eukaryotic small subunit ribosomal RNA", at positions 1299 to 1458 of the family's 1831-position model. The record is from RNAcentral.
UGGUGGAGUGAUUUGUCUGGUUAAUUCCGAUAACGAACGAGACCUUAAUCUGCUAAAUAGUUGCAUUCACUUUGGUGGAUGAUUCAACUUCUUAGAGAGACUAUGUACGUUUAGUACGUGGAAGUUUGAGGCAAUAACA